UAAUACGUAGGGUCCGAGCGUUGUCCGGAGUUACUGGGCGUAAAGCGCGCGCAGGCGGCCCCUCAGGCACGACGUGAAAGCCCCGGGCUCAACCCGGGAGGGUCGUCGUGAACCGUGGGGCUUGAGGCCGGUAGAGGUGGGUGGAACUCCUGGUGGAGUGGUGAAAUGCGUAGAGAUCAGGAAGAACACCCGUGGCGAAGGCGGCCCACUGGGCCGGUACUGACGCUGAGGCGCGAAGGCGUGGGGAGCGAACGGGAUUAGAUACCCCGGUAGUCCACGCAGUAAACGAUGUCGACUCGGUGUGGGCGGUCUUGACCCCGUCCGCGCCACAGCUAACGCGAGAAGUCGACCGCCUGGGGAGUACGGCCGCAAGGCUA
RNAcentral lists this ribosomal RNA (377 nucleotides) under uncultured bacterium. RNAcentral's name for it is "bacterial SSU rRNA". It matches the Rfam family "Bacterial small subunit ribosomal RNA", at positions 521 to 896 of the family's 1533-position model. The record is from RNAcentral.